RNAcentral lists this ribosomal RNA (460 nucleotides) under uncultured bacterium. RNAcentral describes it as "partial 16S ribosomal RNA". It matches the Rfam family "Bacterial small subunit ribosomal RNA", at positions 338 to 795 of the family's 1533-position model. The record is from RNAcentral.
CCUACGGGUGGCAGCAGUGAGGAAUAUUGGUCAAUGGGCGCGAGCCUGAACCAGCCAAGUAGCGUGAAGGAUGACUGCCCUACGGGUUGUAAACUUCUUUUAUAAAGGAAUAAAGUGAGGCACGUGUGCCUUUUUGUAUGUACUUUAUGAAUAAGGAUCGGCUAACUCCGUGCCAGCAGCCGCGGUAAUACGGAGGGUGCAAGCGUUGUCCGGAAUCAUUGGGGGUAAAGAGGUCGUAGGCGGCAUGUAAAGUCAGGUGUUAAAGGCGCAGGCUCAACCUGUGUAUGGCACUUGAUACUUGCAAGCUGGAAUGCGGUAGAGGUGAAGGGAAGUCCUGGUGUAGCGGUGAAAUGCUUAGAUAUCAGGAGGAACAUCGGUGGCGUAAGCGCUUUACUGGGCCGUAAUUGACGCUGAGGAACGAAAGCCAGGGUAGCAAAUGGGAUUAGAUACCCGGGUAGUC